CCCCUAGACGUUCUGGGCUGCACGCGCGCUACAAUAAUACGCACAGCGAGUAUCACCGAGCUCGAAAGGGCAAGGUAAACAAUAGAAAAGGUACUGUAAUGGUUAUAGAUCCUUGUAAUUAUUGAUCUUCAACGAGGAAUUCCUAGUAAGUAUGUGUCAUCAUCACGCACUGAUUACGUCCCUGCCCUUGUACACACCGCCCGUCGCUCCUACCGAUUGGGUGAGCCGAUGAAACUCUCGGAUGUAGGCUAUUCAUAGCCCGCAGAAGAGAUUUGAAUCGUAGCGCUUAGAGGAAGGAGAAGUCGUAACA
This 310-nucleotide ribosomal RNA is filed under the name uncultured eukaryote. RNAcentral describes it as "partial 18S ribosomal RNA". It matches the Rfam family "Eukaryotic small subunit ribosomal RNA", at positions 1470 to 1796 of the family's 1831-position model. The record is from RNAcentral.